This 21-nucleotide non-coding RNA is filed under the name Arabidopsis thaliana (thale cress). Lineage: Eukaryota; Viridiplantae; Streptophyta; Magnoliopsida; Brassicales; Brassicaceae. The record is from RNAcentral.
UAUUUGGGAUUGCGACUUUGA